GCUUACCAAAGUGGUCAUAUGGCAGUUACCAUUAUGUAAAUGCUGGUUCAUUAGAGUUUCCAGUGCCCUGUGUGUUUUGCAAAGUAUGAAAACUGUCAGUUAAAAGAUUUUUGGGUGCCGAAAUGUAAUUUAAUUCCAAAACAACUGAAGGUCAAAAACUUAACAUGCUUUUUUAUGUGUACAUUUAAUAAAACAAUUUCAUUGGUUUCUUACCAUAAGUUAACUGCGAUGAGUGAUAAAUACUUCAAUAUUCAGAUACUUUCGUAAGAGAUACAUUUCAGUGGAACACUUUGCAUAAAUAUUUUCUCAAAAAUAUGCAAUUUCUGGGAAAAAAGGAAUGAUGAAAGAAUUUCACUUACUUGUAUUUAAGUUCAUAGAGUUAUUGCAGUUUUCCUAGAAAUUGUGUCAGAUUGUCAUGCUUUUUUGUUGACUUACUAAGAAUCCCAAUUUUAGCAUGAAGACUAUUAGAUAUGAAUACAUAAGACUAUAACAAUUCAAAUUAAGCACAUGGAGUGAUUUGUAAUUUUGUGUUAAUUUCUCCCUAAGAUGUUUUGUUAAAAUGAUUUUGUAUAAAAUAAAUUUCUAAGUUGAGGAAGGCAGGUAAAAAAAAUUCCAGAUAACCUUUUCUUUCUGAAGUCUGCUAAUAACAAUACCUAGUAUAUACUUAGAAGAACCAGCCAAGAAAAAUUAACUUUCAGCAACCACUCUUUACUCGUUUCUCUUUUGUAAUACCAAUUUUAUGACCCAAGAUUCCCCAGUAUUUAAUGGAAGUAAGAAUAAAGACCAAAGCGCAAAACCUCUGUUACUUGCAAUAUAGUACUUUGUGUUUGUAAUCAAUGUGUGGUAAAUUUAACACAUUUACCACUUACUGAUUAGUCUUUGGGAAAAGAAUGGUGGAAGUCAUUCAAUGAAAUACCUUUCUACCAUAUUGGUUAGACAUACUGGCAGCACAGUGUAAUGAAGAGAACUGGCUUGGAGUUGGGAAAUGGGAAUUUGACUUUCAUUCCUGACAGGAAGUAGAGGAACCCCAGCAAAGUCAUAUCUCAGAGCUUCAUUUUCCUCAUCUGUAAAGUUUUAAAAGUUGAUUAAAUUAUCUGUGAGAUCUAAUUCUGUUCAAAUAGCGAGUGGUGAUAAUCUCAUUUGUAUAUUGUCCUCUGUAUUCAUGGCUCAACCUUGGCUUUUAUAUUUAGUCCCUGAAUAGAAUACAUCAUUUAAUGUGUAGUUUCCAGACAAGCUGUGUCUUGCGGCCAUGACCUUAUUGUUGUAAGUGUGAGGUUUUCUGAACCCUUAGAAGAAGGACUUUUAAUGUUUUCACAACACACUAUUGUAUUGCUAUAAAUUGUGAAUUGCUUUAAAAAUACAUGUUUACUAAUAAAAAGAAGUACAGGCACACUUUA
This 1397-nucleotide long non-coding RNA is filed under the name Macaca fascicularis (crab-eating macaque). Its description in RNAcentral is "lncRNA (ENSMFAG00000061502.1)". The record is from RNAcentral. Lineage: Eukaryota; Metazoa; Chordata; Mammalia; Primates; Cercopithecidae.